This is a non-coding RNA of Pelobates cultripes (western spadefoot toad), 459 nucleotides long. The record is from the annotation of a GenBank genome assembly. NCBI's taxonomy places the organism in Eukaryota, Metazoa, Chordata, Amphibia, Anura, Pelobatidae.
UGAACAUUUUGAAGAUGGGAAGUUUUCUCCGGAAGUAAAUAACUUUUACCACAAAGACAUUAUAAUUUCAUGGAAGGUUCUGUAAUCCGAUACAGUAAAAGAUUAUAAGAAUCUCUUGGCUGAUAACAGCUAUGAAGAAAAUGAAGCUGGAAGCUAUGGUGUCCAUAGCUUGUGUUUGGACCUGGGAAAGUCAAUUAGGUCUAAGUUCAUCCUACAGGUUACUGUAGGACACAAGGCUCUGAAGAAUUCAGUUUGUAAGGAGACUGAGGAAGAGAGCAAUCAAAGUAUCAAUUAAAAUCAUAUUUUAUUAGAUACAAAUAGGAGGAUCGGAUUGUACCUUUGCAAGCUGGAAGCCAUAAUGGAGAAUUAGGAGUUACACAAUAGGUGUGGUUAAAUAAAUAGUCUGUUUAAUUAAUUAGUGCAAAAAUAGCAUACCUCCCAAGUAUCCCUAAUUAGGAG